AAAACCCGAAUGAACUUCUUGGC
Molecule: microRNA, 23 nt
Filed under: Bos taurus (domestic cattle)
Lineage: Eukaryota; Metazoa; Chordata; Mammalia; Artiodactyla; Bovidae
Description: bta-miR-2285bq
Source: miRBase by way of RNAcentral